GGCAUUCUUAAAGAAGGGAAAGUCUGAGGUAUCCCAGCUUAAAUGGGACAUGGACUGAAAAUCAGUGGCAAGAGCUCUAAAUGAGUGACGGACAGUGAGUGUCUACAGUUAUCUGUAAAACAUGCUGAAGGCUCUGUCAUGAUCUGGACUUAAUUUCAGCCAGUGGUGUUAGAAAUCUUGUCAAAAUUGAACUGCAAACACAGAAAAGCAUCAGAUUUGGAUCCAUCAUCAAAAAACAUCUGGAAAUUUUAUUGCAUGACAGCAGGUUCAUAUUUUAUUAUGACAAUCAUCCUAAACACACUGCCAGUACAGAAACAGCAUACCUGGAUAGAAAAAUACACAGUGAAAUACAAUCAGUCGUGGACUGGCCUCCCCAGAGCCCGGACAUUAUUGAGGCCGUGUGAGAUCAGAACACAAGGCAAAAGAAAAGAGGAGCUCUGAUGGUCCUUGGUGUCUGCAGACAGAUGCUGCCUUCGCUCUCUCUGAGCCUUAAUUGCAGGAGUGGAGUCAGGUGUGUUGGAGUCGGCGUAGAGCUCCACCAGCUGCAACCAGCCAUCAUCAACAUCUCUUCAUAUAGUCAGCCCUGCUGUCAGCUCAUAGACUCGACUAUAGCCCGCCUGCUCCUUUUCAGAGAAUCAGUCAUCUCUAGAAAUGGAUAUCUUUCUGUGCAAAAGUCAGAAUAUGUGGGCAAGAUUUUUGCUGUCAUAAGCUGUCUGGGUUUUUUUGUUUUGUUUCUUGCCUUAAUACCACCGACCAAUCCCAUUUGAGCAGGCUUUGGUUGCAUGCAGGUAAACCGAAGUACAGAGAGAGAACACAUUUUCUAAAAUGCAAUCUUGAAACCAUCGACUGUUGCCUGCUGGCGGUCUUGCUUUCUAUUGGCUUUCAAAAUGUAUCUGCAUUCACGAGCAAUGACAAGUAGUCUUGGCCUUGAUACCUGAUGGAUACACCUGAAGCCUUGAAGUGUGGGCCGCUGUCCACAGAGGCUGUGUUUAAACAAUAGCCACAGGGCUCUCAGAGUGCACAAUUCCUGGCUGUCUGUCCUGAAUCCUUUAUACUUAAGCCUCACUGGAUCCCUCUCCAACUUGGCUUGUCUGUCAGUCUUGGAACCCCAGCUACCCCCUCCACCUUACAACCCGGGAGGGUGGGGCAGUUUAGGUUUAGGCUGAGCUGUUUCCCUAACACACUUCAGCCUGGUUUGCCUCUGCACUUCUCUGCUCAGUAAGCCCAACCUUCAACUCAGCCCCAGAGCUCCAGUUACCAGCCUGAGCAACUCCUACCUUCUUUACAACGUUCUUGCUAUAAUAAGUCGCCAUUUGCAUUUAAUCGCUCUCAUUCGUUCGUCUGCUUUUUGAGUUCACAUUUUCUGAUCCCCCCACCACUUUAAUGAUAGGCUUAAAAGAGCAAACUCAUCAUUCUUUUCACAAGUUUUACCAAGCAUAUUCAUGUUCUGUUACUAGGGCUCGAUGAAUAAAUAAGCCCAUAGACAGUGGCCAUAUCUGUCUAUGGAAUUUUCUCUUAUUUUAUUAAUUCCCACCCUUUACUACUACCCUCGUAAGGAUGAUAUAUGACCAAGGCACUGGCCCUUUGAAACACAGGAUUGUCUGCCACUGUCUGUAAUUAACAUGAGCAGGUACACACAGAAAGCACAGAGAUCUGACAGUAUUUCCCUUGAAUGGGCUGAGUGGGCCCAGGGACACCAUUACCCUAACUGAUGAGGGCUAUUUCUCAUUCCUGUCCAGUCACUUCACAGCCAUUAGUGUGUGCAUUAUCGACCUGUGGAGAGGUCUUUGUGCUCAUGGGGAAACACCUGCAGGUCAAAUCAUCCCACCUCCUCUACCCCUUCUCAGUCCUCCUCUAACCCUCAUCAGCAGGCAUAAGAUCAGGGAGAGAGAAUAAGAACAGUGUUCCCCAUGUGGGAGAUGAAAACGAGAGAAGAGAGAGCAAGAUGGCGACCGGUGCAAUCUAAUAUAUGGAGAGUGGGUGUUAAUAGAUACUGUACAGUAUGCGUUCAAGUGCAUUGCCCAAGUCAAAGGAGACAGGGCAGGUAUAUUUUCACUUUUUGUUCCAUAUUAAAAGUGCAAACACUCCUAUAGUUAAAACAUUAAAACAAUAACUAAUAAUUUGGACUCAAAGUUGAAUUUC
Molecule: long non-coding RNA, 2142 nt
Organism: Oreochromis niloticus (Nile tilapia)
Lineage: Eukaryota; Metazoa; Chordata; Actinopteri; Cichliformes; Cichlidae
Exons: 3
Source: RefSeq, a predicted model, not a curated record